This 253-nucleotide ribosomal RNA is filed under the name uncultured bacterium. Its description in RNAcentral is "partial 16S ribosomal RNA". It matches the Rfam family "Bacterial small subunit ribosomal RNA", at positions 524 to 776 of the family's 1533-position model. The record is from RNAcentral.
UACAGAGGGUGCAAGCGUUGUUCGGAAUUAUUGGGCGUAAAGCGCGUGUAGGCGGCUUUGCAAGUCGGGUGUGAAAGCCCUCAGCUCAACUGAGGAAGUGCGCCCGAAACUGCAGAGCUUGAGUACCGGAGAGGAUGGCGGAAUUCCCGAAGUAGAGGUGAAAUUCGUAGAUAUCGGGAGGAGCACCGGUGGCGAAGGCGGCUCUCUGGAACGCAACUGACGCUGAGACGCGAAAGCGUGGGGAGCAAACAGG